RNAcentral lists this small RNA (130 nucleotides) under unclassified sequences. Its description in RNAcentral is "LOOT RNA". It matches the Rfam family "LOOT RNA". Rfam says of the family: Latescibacteria, OD1/Parcubacteria, OP11, TM7. Lineage (Microgenomates, aka OP11) The record is from Rfam by way of RNAcentral.
UGCCUAAACUCGUUGGUUCCCAACGGGCAUGGCACGAAAUCCAUAGCAAUAGAGACGGUCUUCCGACCAGCACUCAUUGCUAUGGUAUGCGCUUGAAAGGGUGCAUGGCUAAUUCCGAAAGGAAAAGGCC